Non-coding RNA from Parelaphostrongylus tenuis, 75 nucleotides. NCBI's taxonomy places the organism in Eukaryota, Metazoa, Nematoda, Chromadorea, Rhabditida, Metastrongylidae. The record is from the annotation of a GenBank genome assembly.
GCGUCAAUAGUUCAACGGGACAGAGCGCGCGCUUCCGGAUAGGGUGAUAUGCGAGUUUGAGUCUCGCCUGGUGCA